This 1304-nucleotide long non-coding RNA is filed under the name Cricetulus griseus (Chinese hamster). Its description in RNAcentral is "lncRNA (ENSCGRG00015037606.1)". Lineage: Eukaryota; Metazoa; Chordata; Mammalia; Rodentia; Cricetidae. The record is from RNAcentral.
GUCCAGGCCCUCCCCUCAGAGAGGCUGUACCAUUGACCUGGGAGAUGUGGGUUGUUUUCUGAUGUCUUUCUCAGGUGACUCAAGUGCAGAGGUGAAACGUGAGAGUCCCUCCUCAAGGAUGUCAGUACAAUCUACUUUAGAAGCUGGCCAUUGAAGAGAGAAGAGUGAUCAUGUUACAUGGCUGGCAUGGAGCACGCAGGCACUCCAGGGCAUACAUGUGCUGAGAAGGUAGGCCAUGUGUGCUACAGAGAGAACCACUGAGGCGCUCAGCAGGAAUACCCUGAGUCUGCUGCACAAAGCAGAAUGCUCACAAGCCAUGUGCUGUGUUUCUAAUUCUGCAGCGGGUUAGAAUGCAGACAGGACUGAGGAGGGCUUCAGAGACCAGCGACUUGGCAAGCAAGUGAGAGAGAAAGAGAAACCAAGGUAGGAAUGGGACUCUAAUCCUUACAGACUGCAGACAGUUCAGAGGCAGCCCCUUAGCUGGGUAGGAAAUGAGAGAACCACACUCAGACCUUGGCUGCCUGUCUCUGUACUUCAUUGGUUUUAUGUAAGAGUGGGAGGCAGUUUUUAUUUUAUUUAUUUGUUUGUUUGUUUAUUAUUUUGUUCUUCUAGGGUUUUUGUUUUUGUUUUGUUUUUGAGACAGGGUUUUUUCUGUGUUGCCCUGGCUGUCCUGGAACUGGAAUUCACAGAGAUCCACCUGCCUCUGCCUCCUGAGUGCUGGGAAUGACAUACCAAGUUGCAGUAAGAUGAGGCACAUACCCUCACAUUAAGGCUGGAAAAGGCAACCAACCCAGUAUAAGGGAAAAGGUACCAAAGGCCAGCAAAAGAGUCAGAGACAGCCCCUGUUCACACUGUUAGGAGUCCCACAAGAGGACCAAGCUACACAACUGUAACAUAUAAGUAGAGGGUCUAGAUCAAUCUAGAUCUAGACUGAUAAUUCUACAGAUACUAAGUACCAGACCCCAGGCUAUACAGUUACAAGAUUGUGUGACACUAUUCACCAGUACAGCAUCAUCACCAGGGCUCUGUGGUUCCAAGAGAAGGGAGGGCACCUGUCAAGGUGGAUAGCAGGCUCCCUGGUUCAGUCUCUGUGAACCCCUAUGAGCCCGGUUAGUUGGUUUUGUGGAUUUUCUUUGCAACAUCCUUGACCUCUCUCCUACAAUCCUUCCUCCCCUUCUUCUGAAGGAUUCCCUGAGCUCCACCUAAUGUUUGGCUCUGGGUCUCUGUAUCUGCUCCCAUCAGUUGCCGGGGGAAGCCUCUCUGGUGAUGAUUGAGCUAGGAACCAAUCUAUGAGUAUAGCAGAA